This 758-nucleotide long non-coding RNA is filed under the name Homo sapiens (human). RNAcentral's name for it is "HSALNT0039488". Lineage: Eukaryota; Metazoa; Chordata; Mammalia; Primates; Hominidae. The record is from RNAcentral.
AGGAGACUCCUGGGAAAAUUGAGCUGGAACUCGGGCUUUAGUUAAAUACCUUCCUCGGGUGGAUCCUGGUCUGACCCCCGUGGUAAUAACGUUAUCAUUGAUUCUUUAUCAUUUCCUAGAUUCUGUGUCCGUGCCUUGUUUGAAGAGCUUUUGAGAUACUCUUCCGAAAAAUGAAGACCUGCUCAAAUGACUUUUCCGUCAUUCAGCCAAACCACUGUCUUUCCCGUCAGGCCCAGAGGCGCCUGGUUCCCGCCCGCAGUAGGCAAGAAAGCGGGCGUUGCUCACUGGGACUUGUAGUAUGACGCCCGCGAGCUGUGAUGCGUUACUAACUGGCGCGAUCCACAGCGCCUCCUCUCCCGGCGUCUUCCUCUCUUUCAUUCUAAACAACGAUUUAAUUUCCUUGUUAAGAAGCCAUUUAGCCAACAGUAAGAAGUACACGUCUUUGCUUCCAGAAGGGUUCCCCUGAUGAAACACCGGAGGAAGGUGAAGUUGAACUUUACCUGAGCCCUGUGUUCCUGGAAAACAGCGGUGAUUAAGAAACCCCCUCAUCUAUUUGUGUUUCUGGAACGGCACACUGUAAAGAACCACCCGUCUCCAUGUGACUCAGAUAAAACGCGUGCAGAUGACCCCCUUGUUUGCCUGUGACAAGGCCAGAGACCUUUCCCCUUUAUUCUGAGCCUGUUAAUAAAGCCAAACAGACCUUCCAAAUUCCCGCUGAUGAUAUCGAGUGAUUAGUUGAGAUUAGAACUCUCCUCCCC